Molecule: ribosomal RNA, 791 nt
Filed under: uncultured marine bacterium
Lineage: Bacteria
Description: bacterial SSU rRNA
Rfam family: Bacterial small subunit ribosomal RNA
Source: RNAcentral
GGCGAACGGGUGAGUAACGCGUAAACAACUUGCCUCAGAGAUUGGGACAACAUUGGGAAACCAGUGCUAAUACCAAAUAAUGCAGCGGGCUCUUCGGAGCACAGUUGUUAAAGUAGGCUUCGGCUUACACUUUGAGAUAGGUUUGCGUCCGAUUAGUUAGUUGGUAGGGUAAAAGCCUACCAAGACCAAGAUCGGUAGCUGGUCUGAGAGGAUGAUCAGCCACACUGGAAUUGAGAUACGGUCCAGACUCCUACGGGAGGCAGCAGUAAGGAAUUUUGCACAAUGGGCGAAAGCCUGAUGCAGCAACGCCGCGUGAACGAUGAAGUUUUUAGGAAUGUAAAGUUCUGUCGUAUGGGAAGAGAUCUUUCGAAUGUUAAUACCAUUCGUUAAUGACGGUACCAUACAAGAAAGCACCGGCUAACUUCGUGCCAGCAGCCGCGGUAAUACGAGGGGUGCUAGCGUUGUCCGGAUUUACUGGGCGUAAAGGGUACGUAGGCGUUUUAAUAAGUUGUAUGUUAAAUAUCUUAGCUUAACUAAGAAAAUGCAUCCAAAACUGUUAAAAUAGAGUUUGAGAGAGGAACGCAGAAUUCAUGGUGGAGCGGUGACAUGCGCAGAUAUCAUGAGGAAAGUCAAAUGCGAAGGCAGCCUUCUGGCUCAAAACUGACGCUGAGGUACGAAAGCGUGGGGAGCGAACAGGAUUAGAUACCCUGGUAGUCCACGUCGUAAACGAUGAGUAUUUGGUGCUGGGGGAUUCGACCCUUUCAGUGCCGUAGCUAACGCGAUAAAUACUC